ACAAAUGCAAUGACAGGGAAGAGUAAAUAAUUAUGGAGUUUUAGAGAAAAGAUGGCUGGUGAAAAUCUUUACAACAUAAUUAUUGAAGGUAGCCUUCGAGCAGUGAAUCGAACAAGGAAACUUAAGUAGACUUCAACGUAUUUCCUACGUUAUCAGGAUAGUGUAUCGAGUAUUUAACUCCGUACAUGAAGCAAGAGCCAAAGAAAUUUGGAAAUUAGGUGGUACCACGGAUAAUCUAUUCGCCCUAGCA
This 250-nucleotide non-coding RNA is filed under the name Coprobacillus sp. RNAcentral's name for it is "T-box sequence". It matches the Rfam family "T-box leader". Rfam says of the family: Uncharged tRNA acts as the effector for transcription antitermination of genes in the T-box leader family. T-boxes are found upstream of many aminoacyl-tRNA synthetase genes and some amino acid biosynthetic genes usually in Gram-positive bacteria. The record is from RNAcentral. Lineage: Bacteria; Bacillati; Bacillota; Erysipelotrichia; Erysipelotrichales; Coprobacillaceae.